Molecule: ribosomal RNA, 562 nt
Filed under: Chrysiptera unimaculata (onespot demoiselle)
Lineage: Eukaryota; Metazoa; Chordata; Actinopteri; Pomacentridae
Description: partial 16S ribosomal RNA
Rfam family: Bacterial large subunit ribosomal RNA
Source: RNAcentral
CAUAAGAGGCACUGCCUGCCCAGUGACCACAUGUUUAACGGCCGCGGUACUUUGACCGUGCGAAGGUAGCGUAAUCACUUGUCUUUUAAAUGAAGACCUGUAUGAAUGGCACGACGAGGGCUUAACUGUCUCUUUUUUCCAGUCAAUGAAAUUGAUCUCCCCGUGCAGAAGCGGGGGUAGUAACAUAAGACGAGAAGACCCCGUGGAGCUUUAGACGCUAGAUCAACCCUAGUCCAACACCCCUGCCUAAAAGGUUGAACGCUAUAGGAGACCGGAUCUAAUGUCUUCGGUUGGGGCGACCCCGGGGAAAGAAAAACCCCCGUGUGGAAUAGGAGUACUACACUCCCAAAUCUAAGAGCCACCUCUCAAAGCAUCAGAAAUUCUGACCAACUACGUGAUCCGGCUUAACGCCGAUUAACGGACCAAGUUACCCCAGGGAUAACAGCGCAAUCCUCUUCUAGAGCCCGUAUCGACAAGAGGGUUUACGACCUCGAUGUUGGAUCAGGACAUCCUAAUGGUGCAGCCGCUAUUAAGGGUUCGUUUGUUCAACGAUUAAAGUCCU